GUGGCUAUUUGAAGGGUUUUUCAGGGAUGUUGUCUAGAUGUCUGCUGGGAACUGUUGGCAAGGCGACUGGAAAAAAUGGUCAAAAUUUAUUUUAGCUCUAUUCUCUGAGAACUAUUGAAAAUGAGACUUAUUUUAUUCCUUCUUUUUGAAAUUUGAAACAUGACCAUCAAGAGAAUGGAGGUUAUAAUGCAGAAUGAUACUAUCAGGACUACUAGAAAACUGGGCAUCAAUGUCCUAGCUCCUGGAAGUAAAGCCACUUAACAGAACUCAUGUUUCCAGGACAAGGCUAUGGAACCAUGGGAUUCAUUAUGAAAAAAUUAGAGAAGCAAAGAGAAGUGCUUUGACUUUCAUCAGCAGAAACUGGAGAAUACAGCCUAAUGCCUAAUUUUCAACAGUUUCCCUCCAAAUGAAAAUCACUAUUGGUAUGGAGAUGACUACCAUCAGCAUGAUGUGCUAUGAAUUUCUGGCUUGCCUGAAGAUCUAACCUUUGAGUGUCUUCUUAGCAUAUAUCUAAGAAAACUGGUGAGCUUGAAGAGCCACCUGCUGGAGAAUGGCAGCAUCCGAGCAAGACCUACAGAUUUUUCUUCCUUUCUAUAAGGUUACAAAUAGCCAGGGAGCCCAGCAACAUCACUAUUCACUGCUCAGCACUCUGGAAGUGGAAAGCAACACAAAUUUGAUUCUGAGGAUGAUGAUGAGGAUGACCCAUGGGCUUUAAGCAUCUAAUACGGAAAAGGAGCUGAGGUGAAUUCAGCUAAGUCUUUUUACAGUUCCUUGCAGCUCCUUUUUCUGAGAAAGAAGAGAAAAAUCAAUGCCUGACAAGAGCCCAGCACUCACAAACAACAGAGAAAUAACAAACUGAGUAAAACAUUAUCAAUUCCUUCAAUUGAUCAUCAUGUGAUCAACUUGUUUUAUUUGACAACGCUGUGCUUUUUAAAAGACAGAUUUUCAUCAUUCAUCAACAACCAUAACAAAUUCCACCAUCCAAAACACAAGUCUGCUUAUACUUUUCAUCUAUACAAUCAUCUCUGAAGUACAAGGAAAACAACAGUGAACUUGGAAAGAGAUCUAGAUUGGAGUUCUGGCUUUACCUGACAUCUAUUUACCUAACACCAAUAAAGUAUUUGCCUCAAGUGAACAUUUCUUAGACUCAGU
This is a long non-coding RNA of Sarcophilus harrisii (Tasmanian devil), 1152 nucleotides long. RefSeq lists it as uncharacterized. NCBI's taxonomy places the organism in Eukaryota, Metazoa, Chordata, Mammalia, Dasyuromorphia, Dasyuridae. The transcript is spliced from 11 exons. The record is from RefSeq and is a predicted model, not a curated record.